GGGGGGGGGGGGGGGGGGGGGGGGGGGGGGGGGGGGGGGGGGAGGGGCGGGGGGGUUGCUGCGCGGACGGGAGCGGCGGGCGGGUGAGUGACGCGUGGGUACCCUGCCUGUAGGACUGGGAUGACGUCGGGCCACCGGGGCUAAUCCCGGCUACUCUAUUGAGCCGCAUGGUUCAAUAGUGCCAGACGGUUUUGCUGUCACGUAUAGAUGUAUCCGCGCCGCAUUAGCUAGUUGGUAAGGUAACGGCUUACCAAGGCGACGAUGCGUAGCCGACCUGAGAGGGUGAUCGGCCACACUGGAACUGAGACACGGUCCAGACUCCUACGGGAGGCAGCAGUAGGGAAUCUUCCGCAAUGGGCGAAAGCCUGACGGAGCAACGCCGCGUGAGUGAUGAAGGUCUUCGGAUCGUAAAACUCUGUUAUUAGGGAAGAACAAAUGUGUAAGUAACUAUGCACGUCUUGACGGUACCUAAUCAGAAAGCCACGGCUAACUACGUG
RNAcentral lists this ribosomal RNA (497 nucleotides) under uncultured bacterium. Its description in RNAcentral is "partial 16S ribosomal RNA". It matches the Rfam family "Bacterial small subunit ribosomal RNA", at positions 38 to 507 of the family's 1533-position model. The record is from RNAcentral.